RNAcentral lists this ribosomal RNA (700 nucleotides) under uncultured bacterium. RNAcentral describes it as "bacterial SSU rRNA". It matches the Rfam family "Bacterial small subunit ribosomal RNA", at positions 100 to 756 of the family's 1533-position model. The record is from RNAcentral.
UAGGGUGAGUAAUGCAUUGAUAACCUACCUUUGAGAUGGGAACAACAACGUUCCAAGUAAUUGGGGCUACCGAAAGGGUUGCUAAUUCUCAAUAAAAAUGCUGACACUUUGGUGUCGGCAGUCAAAGAAAUGGAUCUGAAAAGGUCCAUUUGCUCAGAGAGGGGUCAAUGUCCUAUCAGCUAGUUGGUAGGGUAAUGGCCUACCAAGGCGAAGACGGGUAGCCGGCCUGAGAGGGUGGUCGGCCACACUGGGACUGAGACACUGCCCAGACUCCUACGGGAGGCUGCAGUCGAGAAUCUUUCGCAAUGCCCGAAAGGGUGACGAAGCGACGCCGCGUGUGGGAUGAAGGCCUUCGGGUUGUAAACCACUGUCGGGAGUUAAGAAUUGUAGGAAUGCUAAUAGUAUUUCUACUUGACUAAGGCUCCGGAGGAAGCCACGGCUAACUCUGUGCCAGCAGCCGCGGUAAUACAGAGGCGGCAAGCGUUGUUCGGAAUUAUUGGGCGUAAAGAGCAUGUAGGCGGCUAUGUAAGUCGGUUGUGAAAGCCUUCCGCUUAACGGAAGAAUGGCGGUCGAAACUGCAUGGCUUGAGUGCGGGAGGGGAGAGUGGAACUUCUGGUGGAGCGGUGAAAUGCGUAGAUAUCAGAAGGAACGUCGGCGGCGAAAGCGACUCUCUAGACCGUAACUGACGCUGAGUGUGCGA